Molecule: ribosomal RNA, 406 nt
Filed under: uncultured bacterium
Lineage: Bacteria
Description: bacterial SSU rRNA
Rfam family: Bacterial small subunit ribosomal RNA
Source: RNAcentral
AGAGUUUGAUCCUGGCUCAGAUUGAACGCUGGCGGCAUGCCUUACACAUGCAAGUCGAACGGCAGCGCGGGGCAACCUGGCGGCGAGUGGCGAACGGGUGAGUAAUAUAUCGGAACGUACCCUGGAGUGGGGGAUAACGUAGCGAAAGUUACGCUAAUACCGCAUACGAUCUAAGGAUGAAAGUGGGGGAUCGCAAGACCUCAUGCUCCUGGAGCGGCCGAUAUCUGAUUAGCUAGUUGGCGGGGUAAAAGCCCACCAAGGCAACGAUCAGUAGCUGGUCUGAGAGGACGACCAGCCACACUGGAACUGAGACACGGUCCAGACUCCUACGGGAGGCAGCAGUGGGGAAUUUUGGACAAUGGGCGCAAGCCUGAACGAGCAAUGCCGCGUGAGUGAAGAAGGCCUU